RNAcentral lists this ribosomal RNA (1343 nucleotides) under uncultured bacterium. Its description in RNAcentral is "16S ribosomal RNA". It matches the Rfam family "Bacterial small subunit ribosomal RNA", at positions 28 to 1378 of the family's 1533-position model. The record is from RNAcentral.
GACGAACGCUGGCGGCGUGCUUAACACAUGCAAGUCGAACGGAAAGGCCCUGCUUUUGUGGGGUGCUCGAGUGGCGAACGGGUGAGUAACACGUGAGUAACCUGCCCUUGACUUUGGGAUAACUUCAGGAAACUGGGGCUAAUACCGGAUAGGAGCUCCUGCUGCAUGGUGGGGGUUGGAAAGUUUCGGCGGUUGGGGAUGGACUCGCGGCUUAUCAGCUUGUUGGUGGGGUAGUGGCUUACCAAGGCUUUGACGGGUAGCCGGCCUGAGAGGGUGACCGGCCACAUUGGGACUGAGAUACGGCCCAGACUCCUACGGGAGGCAGCAGUGGGGAAUACUGCACAAUGGGCGGAAGCCUGAUGCAGCAACGCCGCGUGCGGGAUGACGGCCUUCGGGUUGUAAACCGCUUUCGCCUGUGACGAAGCGUGAGUGACGGUAAUGGGUAAAGAAGCACCGGCUAACUACGUGCCAGCAGCCGCGGUGAUACGUAGGGUGCGAGCGUUGUCCGGAUUUAUUGGGCGUAAAGGGCUCGUAGGUGGUUGAUCGCGUCGGAAGUGUAAUCUUGGGGCUUAACCCUGAGCGUGCUUUCGAUACGGGUUGACUUGAGGAAGGUAGGGGAGAAUGGAAUUCCUGGUGGAGCGGUGGAAUGCGCAGAUAUCAGGAGGAACACCAGUGGCGAAGGCGGUUCUCUGGGCCUUUCCUGACGCUGAGGAGCGAAAGCGUGGGGAGCGAACAGGCUUAGAUACCCUGGUAGUCCACGCUGUAAACGGUGGGUACUAGGUGUGGGGUCCAUUCCACGGGUUCCGUGCCGUAGCUAACGCUUUAAGUACCCCGCCUGGGGAGUACGGCCGCAAGGCUAAAACUCAAAGGAAUUGACGGGGCCCCGCACAAGCGGCGGAGCAUGCGGAUUAAUUCGAUGCAACGCGUAGAACCUUACCUGGGUUUGACAUGGAUCGGGAGUGCUCAGAGAUGGGUGUGCCUCUUUUGGGGUCGGUUCACAGGUGGUGCAUGGCUGUCGUCAGCUCGUGUCGUGAGAUGUUGGGUUAAGUCCCGCAACGAGCGCAACCCUUGUUCACUGUUGCCAGCACGUUAUGGUGGGGACUCAGUGGAGACCGCCGGGGUCAACUCGGAGGAAGGUGGGGAUGACGUCAAGUCAUCAUGCCCCUUAUGUCCAGGGCUUCACGCAUGCUACAAUGGCUGGUACAGAGAGUGGCGAGCCUGUGAGGGUGAGCGAAUCUCGGAAAGCCGGUCUCGGUUCGGAUUGGGGUCUGCAACUCGACCUCAUGAAGUCGGAGUCGCUAGUAAUCGCAGAUCAGCAACGCUGCGGUGAAUACGUUCCCGGG